UAAGGAAUAUUGGUCAAUGGACGGAAGUCUGAACCAGCCAUGCCGCGUGGAGGAUGAAGGCCCUCUGGGUUGUAAACUUCUUUUAUUUGGGACGAAACACUCUUUAUCUAGAGAGCUUGACGGUACCAGAUGAAUAAGCACCGGCUAACUCCGUGCCAGCAGCCGCGGUAAUACGGAGGGUGCAAGCGUUAUCCGGAUUCACUGGGUUUAAAGGGUGCGUAGGCGGAUUUGUAAGUCCGUGGUGAAAUCUCUAAGCUUAACUUGGAAAUUGCCGUGGAUACUAUAAGUCUUGAAUAUUGUGGAGGUUAGCGGAAUAUGUCAUGUAGCGGUGAAAUGCAUAGAUAUGACAUAGAACACCAAUUGCGAAGGCAGCUGGCUACACAACUAUUGACGCUGAGGCACGAAAGCGUGGGGAUCAAACA
This 422-nucleotide ribosomal RNA is filed under the name uncultured bacterium. RNAcentral's name for it is "bacterial SSU rRNA". It matches the Rfam family "Bacterial small subunit ribosomal RNA", at positions 355 to 774 of the family's 1533-position model. The record is from RNAcentral.